UGGNCAGUAACUGACGCUGAGGAGCGAAAGCAUGGGGAGCGAACAGGAUUAGAUACCNUGGUAGUCCAUGCUGUAAACGGUGGGCGUUAGGUGUGGGGACCGGUUUGGUUUCUGUGCCGUAGCUAACGCAUUAAGCGCCCCGCCUGGGGAGUACGGCCGCAAGGCUAAAACUCAAAGGAAUUGACGGGGGCCCGCACAAGCGGCGGAGCAUGUGGAUUAAUUCGAUGCAACGCGAAGAACCUUACCUGGGUUUGACAUGCACCAGACGGUUGUAGAGAUACGUACCUCCCUUUGUGGUUGGUGUGCAGGUGGUGCAUGGUUGUCGUCAGCUCGUGUCGUGAGAUGUUGGGUUAAGUCCCGCAANNANNNNAACCCUUGUCUUAUGUUGCCAGCACUUUGGGUGGGGACUCAUGAGAGACUGCCGGGGUUAACUCGGAGGAAGGUGGGGAUGACGUCAAAUCAUCAUGCCCUUUAUGCCCAGGGCUUCACACAUGCUACAAUGGUUAGUACAACGCGCGGCAAACCUGUGAGGGUGAGCGAAUCGCUGAAAGCUAAUCUCAGUUCGGAUUGGGGUCUGCAACUCGAC
Molecule: ribosomal RNA, 586 nt
Filed under: uncultured bacterium
Lineage: Bacteria
Description: bacterial SSU rRNA
Rfam family: Bacterial small subunit ribosomal RNA
Source: RNAcentral